Molecule: long non-coding RNA, 366 nt
Filed under: Gossypium barbadense (sea-island cotton)
Lineage: Eukaryota; Viridiplantae; Streptophyta; Magnoliopsida; Malvales; Malvaceae
Description: long non-coding RNA (GBAR_LNC020283)
Source: RNAcentral
GAAAGUCUCUAACAGUCAGCAAGCUGUUUCCGAGCUAGAUGCUUGCAGACGUAGGAAAGUGGCUCUCGAAGAAAAGGUCCUCCGGCUGCAGGGUGAUUUAACUGCAAGAGAAGCCUUGGGAACUCAGGAAGCUGCACUGAAAAAUGAGCUGGCCCAAAUUAGAAGAGAAAAUAGCCAACUCCAGAGGAAGAUAAAGAAGCUUGAGGAGGAGAAAGAUGACUACCUGAAGAAAGCCCAAGGCCUUGAAGAGGAACUGAAGCAGAUAAAACAGGAUCAAAACAGCCCCAAGACUGUGAGUCUCUUCUUUAGCAUAACCCUGACCCUCGUAGGUUUAUCAUCAAUAGACAGUUCUUGUUUGGGAUUUUC